RNAcentral lists this ribosomal RNA (774 nucleotides) under uncultured Neocallimastigales. RNAcentral describes it as "partial large subunit ribosomal RNA". It matches the Rfam family "Eukaryotic large subunit ribosomal RNA", at positions 23 to 616 of the family's 3401-position model. Lineage: Eukaryota; Fungi; Neocallimastigomycota; Neocallimastigomycetes; Neocallimastigales. The record is from RNAcentral.
AGAGAGAGACAUGCGCGCAUAUCAAUAAGCGGAGGAAAAGAAACUAACAAGGAUUCCCCUAGUAACGGCGAGUGAAGCGGGAAGAGCUCAAAUUUGAAAUCUUAAAGGGUUUCCCUUUACGAAUUGUAGUUUAAAGAAGUGUUUUCUGUUGAGGUUUUGGUAAAAGUUCUUUGGAAUAGGACAUCAUAGAGGGUGAGGAUCCCGUAUUUGACCUUUACUUUCAACUUUGUGAUACACUUUCAAAGAGUCGGAUUGUUUGGGAAUGCAGUCCAAAAUGGGUGGUAAAUUUCAUCUAAAGCUAAAUAUUGGCGAGAGACCGAUAGCGAACAAGUACCGUGAGGGAAAGAUGAAAAGAACUUUGAAAAGAGAGUUAAACAGUACGUGAAAUUGUCAAAAGGGAAGCGUUUGACACCAGUGUUGUUUUUCUGAAAAUCAAUUAAAGAACUGUUUAUGCUAAGCUGUUUAGACUUUAUCAGCUAACUGUUUAGUUUUGAGCUUUUCUUUAAUGCACUUUUCAGUUAACAAGUCAACAUCAAUUUCUUUUGCUGUAAAAAAGCUUGAGGAAGGUGGCUUGAGAUUCGUCUUAAGUGUUUAUAGCCUCUUGCCUAUGCAGUCGGAGAGAUUGAGGUCUGCAGCGUAGAUCCUUCGGGGCUAAAUGCAUUUGUGCUAAGUUAUAGCAUUUUAUAGACAACUUGUUGACUAUGAUUUGUCUUGUAGCUUACUCGCUUAUGUUAUUUUACCUACGCUUAGGAUGUUGAGCGCAUGUCUCUCUCU